RNAcentral lists this ribosomal RNA (420 nucleotides) under bacterium. RNAcentral describes it as "partial 16S ribosomal RNA". It matches the Rfam family "Bacterial small subunit ribosomal RNA", at positions 355 to 776 of the family's 1533-position model. The record is from RNAcentral.
UGGGGGAUAUUGCACAAUGGGCGAAAGCCUGAUGCAGCGACGCCGCGUGGGGGAUGAAGGCUUUCGGGUUGUAAACCUCUUUCGCUAUCGAACAAGGCCCGCUUAGGGUGGGUUGAGGGUAGGUGGAGAAGAAGCGCCGGCUCACUACGUGCCAGCAGCCGCGGUAAUACGUAGGGCGCGAGCGUUGUCCGGAAUUAUUGGGCGUAAAGGGCUUGUAGGCGGCUUGUUGCGCCUGCUGUGAAAACGCGGGGCUUAACUUCGCGCGUGCAGUGGGUACGGGCAGGCUUGAGUGUGGUAGGGAUGACUGGGAUUCCAGGUGUAGCGGUGGAAUGCGCAGAUAUCUGGAGGAACACCGAUGGCGAAGGCAGGUCACUGGGCCAUUACUGACGCUGAGGAGCGAGAGCAUGGGUAGCGAGCAGG